Molecule: ribosomal RNA, 254 nt
Filed under: uncultured bacterium
Lineage: Bacteria
Description: partial 16S ribosomal RNA
Rfam family: Bacterial small subunit ribosomal RNA
Source: RNAcentral
UACGUAGGCAGCAAGCGUUGUUCGGAGUUACUGGGCGUAAAGGGUGCGUAGGCGGCUUUUUAAGUUUGGUGUGAAAUCUCCCGGCUCAACUGGGAGGGUGCGCCGAAUACUGAGAAGCUAGAGUGUGGGAGAGGAAAGUGGAAUUCCUGGUGUAGCGGUGAAAUGCGUAGAUAUCAGGAGGAACACCGGUGGUGUAAACGGCUUUCUGGACCGAUAACUGACGCUGAGGCACGAAAGCGUGGGUAGCAAACAGG